This 938-nucleotide ribosomal RNA is filed under the name Ascidiella aspersa. RNAcentral describes it as "SSU rRNA". It matches the Rfam family "Eukaryotic small subunit ribosomal RNA", at positions 626 to 1591 of the family's 1831-position model. The record is from RNAcentral. Lineage: Eukaryota; Metazoa; Chordata; Ascidiacea; Phlebobranchia; Ascidiidae.
GCUCGUAGUUGGAUUUUGGGCGCAGGCGGCCGGUCCGUCGCAAGGCGUGUACUGGCCGUCCUGGCCUCACCUCCGGUUCUCCGCCGGUGCCCUUGACUGAGUGUCGGCGGCGGCCGGAACGUUUACUUUGAAAAAAUUAGAGUGUUCAAAGCAGGCGAUUCGCCUGAAUAAUGGUGCAUGGAAUAAUGGAAUAGGACCUCGGUUCUAUUUUGUUGGUUUUCGGAGCGCGAGGUAAUGAUUAAGAGGGACAGACGGGGGCAUUCGUACUGUGCCGUUAGAGGUGAAAUUCUUGGAUCGGCGCAAGACGAACGACUGCGAAAGCAUUUGCCAAGAAUGUUUUCUUUAAUCAAGAGCGAAAGUCAGAGGUUCGAAGACGAUCAGAUACCGUCCUAGUUCUGACUAUAAACGAUGCCAACUAGCGAUCGGGGGGCGUUAGUUUUACGACCUCUCCGGCAGCUUGCGGGAAACCAAAGUCUUUGGGUUCCGGGGGAAGUAUGGUUGCAAAGCUGAAACUUAAAGGAAUUGACGGAAGGGCACCACCAGGAGUGGAGCCUGCGGCUUAAUUUGACUCAACACGGGAAAUCUCACCCGGCCCGGACACAGUGAGGAUUGACAGAUUGAGAGCUCUUUCUUGAUUCUGUGGGUGGUGGUGCAUGGCCGUUCUUAGUUGGUGGAGCGAUUUGUCUGGUUAAUUCCGAUAACGAACGAGACUCUGGCUUGCUAACUAGUUACGCGACCCAAUCGGUCGGCGUCUAACUUCUUAGAGGGACUAGUGGCGUUUAGCCACACGAGAUUGAGCAAUAACAGGUCUGUGAUGCCCUUAGAUGUUCGGGGCCGCACGCGCGCUACACUGACCGGAUCAGCAUGUGCUCGCCUUGGCCGACAGGUCUGGGUAACCCGCUGAACCCCGGUCGUGCUAGGGAUAGGGAAUUGCAAUU